This 504-nucleotide ribosomal RNA is filed under the name uncultured bacterium. RNAcentral's name for it is "partial 16S ribosomal RNA". It matches the Rfam family "Bacterial small subunit ribosomal RNA", at positions 28 to 523 of the family's 1533-position model. The record is from RNAcentral.
GGUUAAUGCUAGCGGUGCGCCUAACACAUGCAAGUCGAGCGGUAACAUGAACUGUAGCAAUACAGUUUGAUGACGAGCGGCGGACGGGUGAGGAACACGUAGGAACCUGCGUAAGAGAGGGGGACAACCAAGGGAAACUUUGGCUAAUACCGCAUAAUCUCUGAGGAGAAAAGUUGCCCGUAAGGGUGAAGCUUUUGGAGGGGCCUGCGUCCGAUUAGUUAGUUGGUGAGGUAAUGGCUCACCAAGACGAUGAUCGGUAACUGGUCUGAGAGGACGACCAGUCACACUGGGACGGAGACACGGCCCAGACUCCUACGGGAGGCAGCAGUGGGGAAUCUUGAACAAUGGGGGCAACCCUGAUCCAGCGAUGCCGCGUGGGUGAAGAAGGCCUUCGGGUUGUAAAGCCCUUUAGGCUGGGAAGAAGAAUGUAGGCUGAAUAAUCCUAUAUUUUGACGGUACCAGCAGAAUAAGCACCGGCAAACUCUGUGCCAGCAGCCGCCGUAA